Molecule: long non-coding RNA, 13235 nt
Organism: Ictidomys tridecemlineatus (thirteen-lined ground squirrel)
Lineage: Eukaryota; Metazoa; Chordata; Mammalia; Rodentia; Sciuridae
Source: RefSeq, a predicted model, not a curated record
GGCCCUCACGUGGACGCCCGCUCUGCCUUCCGAAGGCCAGCUCUUCUGAGUGACCACUGCUGCCUGACCUGGCCCUCCUUCACUGGGCAGCUGGUGGAUAGCUGAGCGACUGCAUGUCCAGGCUCACAAGUUGACUCAGCCAGAGGUCAGGGGACAAGGGCUGUGGGGACACAGGUGUCUCCCCAGAAUCUGGCCCCUUGAGCACCCUCCCUGUGCUCCCUGCAGAGCCGUGUCCAUCAACAUUCCCUUGUCUUUUAAUUUGGGGAAAGAGGACAUGAAAGGCAAGAAACACAGUGGCGGUGGGGGGCGGGCAGGACGUCUUGUUGGCUCCCCGGGAAGGCUGGCAAGAUGGAUGGAGGGCCCCCGCCGUCCUCUGAGCUCACGCUGUUUGGCUUCAAAGUCGUUUCCCGCGUGAUGCAUUGUGCUAUCUGGAAGAUCGAUUCCCCCUUCUCAAGACCACAGAAGAGUCUCCGUGUUUCAAAACGCAUUUGGGCUUUUUAAAACUAACAUAUUCAGUCCCGUUGCCUCUGGGAUCUGUAAGCAGACCCAGUUCCUGCUAUUUUUGGGAUCAUUUCCAGAAAAAUAAUUUACUUUUCAUUGUGGAGUCUGUCAGGCUAAGUGGAGUGAGUCUCUUUGUGGGGCUGGACGAGUAAAUCCAGUCCUGAAAAAGAUGGGGAUUUAAAACCUUUCCUGCAGAGAGGGCUCGUCGCUGGGCCUGCCUCGUAGCUGGAAAUCAAAAGGAGCUGUCAGGAGGCCUGUGCACGCCACACGCUUUGCUAUCGUCUAUCAGAAAAAUGCAGACAGACGCAAGGAAGGAAACAAAGAUGACCUUCAUUUCCACCAUUCAAAGACGAUGUUUGCCGACUCUGGUCAACAAGGAAACAGAAGCCGUGUUUAGACACGUGAGCCCUAAGGCCUGCUGGUUCAGAAGGACGAGUUAGGGCACUAGUGGAUGGCAGAGACCCCCACUAGAGAGACCCUCUUUGAUGUCAUGAGGAUGGAUCACAAAGCUGAUACCCGUCACGUCAGGUGGAUUCAAAGAAUCUUCACCAGAAAUAUUGAACUGGAACGGAGAAUUAAAUUUGCCCAAGUUCAAAUGUGGUUUGCUGUCAUGGGAGCAAAUGGCCUCUCUCCUGAUUUCUGUAAUCCCCUGUUGAUCGUUGGGUGGACUCUCCUGAAGAAACUGAUCAUUUGCUCAAAUGAGAACAUAAUAAAAAUGGCCUCUAUUUGCUAGUAACUCAGGCAGGUGGAACUGAAUUUAUUCAAAUCCCAGAGCAAAUAUUAGACAGCCGACUCCCGUUCUGGGACCUGGCUAUUCUGUUUUUCUCCUGGUCUUCCAAACAGGGACAAGUGACACUUGGCCUGUGCGCCACCUGGUUCUCCUCACACGGCUCCUGAGACCUGGAAGAGCGGUCCUGCUCACCUCUCUGACCACAGAGAAGUUUAGUGAGUUGCCUAAGGUCACCCAGCAGGAAAUCUGAGGAGCUGGAACUUGAUACAGGUCUAGCUGACUGCUGGCCCGCACCGUCUCCACGUCAGGGCGCCUGAAAACACUCACAGGUACUUGCAGGACGUGGCCUCGUCCCCUAGGGGUGAACAGGGGAUGGGGCAGUGCUUGGCACAUCUGCGGCUGGGGCCACGUUACUCCUGCCUCAAACCUUUCAGCGGCUCCCCGUUGCCUUCUGGGUAGAGCCGAAACUCCUGAGCCAAGCCUGCAGCUCCCCGGGAAGACCGUCCUCACUGCACCGACUCUGCACGUUGGGUCAACAUACUUUUUCUCUUUUUUAAAAUAUUUUUUUUAGUUGUAGAUGGACACAAUCCCUUUAUUUUAUUUACUUUUAUGUGGUGCUGAGGAUGGAACCCAGGGCCUCGCACGUGCCAGGUGAGCGCUCUUCCACGGAGCCCCAGCCCCAGCCCCCACACUUUCUCUUAAAGGACCACAGAGCAAACAUUUUAGGUUUUCCUGGCCACGCACAGUCCCCCUGACGGCAGCUCUGCCCUGCACCAGGAAAGCGGCAAGAUGCCAUCCAAGGAGCAUGGCUGUGUCCCAACGAUGGACACAAGUGCGCAGAACAGCCUGCAGAUUGCCGACCCUCGUGGGUGGAGGGAAUUAGGUAACUGGAGGAAAACCCACUUGACCCCCAACUUGGGGAUGCUGGUGCCUGGGUCCUCAGCCCCACAUAGACCAAGCCAGGCACUUGGAGGACUCGGCCGGGCAUCCUUGUUCACGAUGACCCCCACGAGGGGAAUUGUUCUCUCUAAUUCAAAGGGAGACCCUGAGGCGUAGGAUGGCAAGGAGCUCACUGAAGUCACACAGCAGGAAAUGCAAGACAGAAAUUAAAGAAGAAAAGUGCCCCACAGGUUUGGCAGCCACAGGUACAAAAAGAUCUCCCGGCACCCAGUGCCCUCGGCCCCUCCCGGGAACGCCAAACGAGGGGCAGGGGCACUGUGGGUGCCCUGCCGUGCCCGACUCCUCAAAGGAGCAGGGUGCUUGGAGUGAGGACCGCGGCUCAGUGGCUCUCCCUGGCCCAGGGAACACAUCUGCAGCAUAGGCCCCGUGGGCUUCUCUGACCCUGGUCCCCUCUUGCUUAGGUGUAGAAACUAGAGGGCUCUGUGCUCCUGGCCUCCUGGGCACGUCCGCUGAGCGCCCCCCCCCCCUGCGCAGCCCUGGGAAUCCCACGCAGAGCGGGUCCUCCUUGGGGGGCUCAGACUCGACCUUCCAGGUGAUUCUGUUUCUUGAGGCUGUUUUUAACCCCCGAGGUGCGUGUUUGCGGCCAGGAAACGUCCACAGGUGCAGAUGCUCUGCUUCUGCCAGGGCUGUCAGCUUGCUUUGGAUGACUUCCUGCAGAGGGAAAUUAGAAAAUCUAAACCAAAAAAAUCAGAGGAAAAAGAGGCCGCUGUCCACGGGAGGCUUCGCACAGCCUCUCAGGCAGCCGAGAUCUGAAGGCCGAGGCCCAGGAGGCAGUCCCUGAGCUGAGCCCGAGUCUCAAGCCAUGCUUCUUGAGCACCUGCUGCUUUGGAAGUGGAGGUCCGAGGGGAGGGCGGAGCAGGCGCAGCAGAGCGCCAGAGAGAGGCCAGCCUGCCUCCCCAGGUAGGGCCUGGCAAGGAGGAGGCCCCGGGACACCCAGGGCUGAGGUGGGACUCUGCAGAGCCGCCCCUGGAGGCCCUGCCCGCCAGUCUGCUCCGUCUCGACGAGGCUGCUCUUCUCCUGGCCUUGCCGUUGGCCAGAGCAGGCAGGUCUCGGGGGCAGACUGGAGGGUCCCUGUGGCCUCCUCACCUCCUCGGCCCCAGCUUUCCCUGCAGCCCCUGGUGUCACAACUGACUCUGCUGUUGUCACUCCACAGCACGGCUCUCAGCCUCCACCUGGCUCUGCCGUGCUGUGCCACCCAGUUUCUCUGGUGCGGGAACAACACCAGCCUCAGCUCUCUCUCUCUCUGGGUGUAAAUUAAUAAGCUGAGUCUUCACUUUGUAUGAAAGUGGGAAGAUCCAGGAGCCACCAAGCCAUCUCAGAGACAGACGAGGCGGGAGGGUUCGUGGUGCUCACCAGUGAGACUUCUUAACAGGUGACACAGUCAAGAGUGUGCUGUUGGCACAGGGAACUGAAAAGAAUAGAAAGUUCCUGACACAGACCUGUGACAAUAUGAUGUGACAGGAGUCAUGACCAAGGUGGCCUUGCUGAGCGAUUGCGGGAAAAGGUGGUCUUUUCAGGGGCUGUGGCAGGGUCAGCCAGAUGCCCACAGGGAGAAGUCAUGGAGCUUGACCCCUGCCUGGAAAUGACCAGCCCUAGGUGAAGAACAGGAAGCCGCUAUCCAGAAGACAACCAGGCGGGGAGCGUUGUCACGACCUUGGAGUAGGGCAGGAUUUCUUAAGCAGGACUCGACAGCAUUGACCGCACGUGAAAGACCUGCAAAUCGGAUGACACUGAAAUUAAGAACUUUUGCUUAUCAAAGGCACUUAAGAAAGUGAAGAGAGAGCUGGGCAGGGUGGCCCCACCUGCACUCCCGGCCAGCUGGGGGCUGUGGCAGGAGGACCCAAGUUCAAGGCCAGCGGGCAACGCAGUGAGACCCUGUCUCAAGAUAAACAACAGAAAGGACUGGAUGCAGGCCACGGUAGAGCACCCCGGCUCGAUCCCCAGUAACCCAGCCCGGAAAAAAGUGAAGCCACAAGUCAUAAAACGGGAGAGGUGUUUGUGACAUGAAUUACUGGGAAAGGGUCACGUUUGGGAUAUGUAAAGAAACCCUACAAACCAGUAAGAAAAGCUCCCUUUCCCGAUUUGAAUAGUAAAUGGCAAGAAUCUCAACACAGUUCACAAAAGAUAAUAUCCACCUCUCGGUGCCGGCUUCCCUGGGCCCUGGGGGAUGCUGAUUAAAGGUUCCUGAGAUGCUACUAUGGACCUUUUGAGUGGCUGAAGUCAAAGGGACCAACAAUGCUCAGGGUACGAUGUGAAGCCCAGGGGACCUUCACCCUCUUCUUUGGGGAGUACAAAUUCAAACGGCCACUUUUGACAGCCGUCUGGCAGUGUCAGCUAAAGAUCAACACGUCUUCUGACCCCAUGUUUCCUCUCCUGGUACAGAUUCAGAAUCAAGUCCUUCUGCAUGCCCAAGAUGCGGAUACCUUUCAACUGUCCAAAUGUCCAGGGACAGAAUGGAUGGAAACAGUCCUGGUGUAUUUUUACAACGAGGCGCCGGGCAAUAGGAAUGAACGUAUUACAACUUCCGCAGCAAUACGACAGGGCUCAGAAACAAGCCAGACGUGAGACAGUCCUCAUUGCAUUAUAAAAACUUAAUUUAUCCAAACGAUAAAUGCCAUAUAAAUACAAGGCUAUAAAGUUUAAUGCAGACAAAACGAUGACUAUCUUGGAUGUCGGUAAUGUGGUUACGUCUGGGGAGGAGGAAGGAGGCCUUGCAGAUUUUUAGGAUAUUUCGUUUUUUCCUGGGUCAGGCUCACACAGAUGUGCUCUUUGUGAUAAUCCAGUGAGCGGGAGACUUUGCUAUACGUGUGUCUGCCUCAAUAAAAAUUUAAGAGUGUCAGCUAGAAAUAAUGAAUGCUUGGAAAAGUAAUUGUAUUUAGCCGAUGUGCAUGUGCCAAGCCCUGUGCCAAGGAAACUGAAGAGAUAGGUCAGGGUCCCUUCCUGGGGGUUACAAAAAUGGAGAAUCGUGUUGACCUGGUGGGCCAAGAGCGAGGUGCCUCCGUGGCUGGGGAGAUGGCACCCAGAGCAUCUGCAGGCUCUGCGGGGAGCCGGAGGCCACCUGGGGCCAGGCAGGGAAGGGUGUUCCCGGCAGAGGGAGCUGCCCAUGGCAGGGCUCGCUCUUGUAGAAUAAGAGGCUCGACGCACUUGAGGGACCCAAAGGCGCCCAUUGUGAGCGGGCACCAGGAAGGCUGUGAGGGUAGUGGCCAGACCCUGUGGUUUCCUCUACACCCUGCCAACAAGUUGGAGCCUUACUCUGAGGGCAAUAGGGAGCAGGAAGGGUACCUAGGGUGAGGGGACGGGGCAACAGGCUCAGACUUGAGACUUGAAGUGUCGAUGGCGACUUCCGGGUGGUCAAGGGUGGAGGUUCAGAGACGAGCGAUUGAUAGCUGCAGCCGCAGGAGGCACGGGGUAGUGGCCCAGGAAGGGGGGUCUGGGAAGGACGUCGGACCAGGGCCUGGGGCUGAGCUGGCUUGAGAGGAGCUGGGACACCCCGGGCAGUAAGAAGCCACUUCCCAGGACAUGUGAGGAGCAGGCUUCACCCGCAUCCACCACCCAGGGCUCCAGGCUCAGCGGCAUCCGCCCUUCUGUUUACAAGAAGCCCUGGGAGCUGACAGAGGGGACAGUGGAGCCAGCAUCCUGACAAAGUGACCACAGCGUCAGCAAGAAGCUGCGAGUGAAAUUUCCCGACUUCUGCACCAGACCUGGGUGCGAAUCCAACACUGCAUCUUCCCGUGGGCCCCGGCGCUGCCUUCUAGGAGCUGGGCGUCAGGCGUGGUGUGGUCUGGGCACUGAGGUCCCCAGGAAACCAGGGUCGGAUGUCCGGCAGGUGGCAGCCUGGCCCCGGGACCUCCUGACAGCAAUGUCUGGGAUGGCCAUCUGCGGUUCUGACCAGCCUGGCCCGGCUGGCCUCUCCUGGAAAGAGCUUCUCAGUAUCCUUGUGGGGAACCUUCCCUUCUCCAUGGUCAGCCCCGAGGGCAGAUGGACCUGGCCCCACCCAGCUGCAGGCGUAGGUGGGGCCCAGGGAGGGAAAGCUCUUCUCAUGGAGCUCCUGGAAGGAUGGGUCAGCUUCUCAGGGUGUGCCCAUCGGGUCCAGUCCUGGCCGCAGGGGUGCCUUCUGAUUGGAUGGGCGUGGCUCAGUGGCACCUCUCUGUGGGGGAUGGGCUGAGCCUCCCGCUCAGGAAUGGCGGGGGGCCGGGGGGCGACCUCCACCCCGCGGCUCUCAUGCCCUGGCACGUCCCCCACGCCGUGUAGUUUUGUCUUGCCAGCUGCCCUGCCCCUUGGCAGCAACAAAGAGCCAGUGUCCCCGUCUCAUCUCGGAGGACCUGUCGUCAAGGCUUCCUGCCCCUGCUGGCCGAGGUGGGCAGGAGGAGGCUGCAGCUUGUCUGUGGCUUGUCCUUUGACUCAAGGACCAAAAGUGGCUGCAGCUGACCAGAUGGAGCCCCGCAAGUGCCGGCCAGCUGUGCCCGCAGACCUGUGUGACCUGGCGCUGCCCUUCUCCAGCCGCUCUUAAAUGUUCCUUUCAUUUUUAGGCUCAACUCAUUUCCCUUUAAAAUAAUUCUCAGCGGUUUAAUCUUUCUUUUAAAAAAAACUGAGGGAGAAUGAAAUGAUUUGACACCUACCAUCGUAAGGUGUGCGAGUCGGUGGCAUGAACCGAGUUCACCGUGUGCACCCCUCUCUAGUUCCCAAACAUCCCCAGAGGAUGUCCCUGCCCCCAACACCCCACCCCAGCCCCUCCCGGCUGCCCCCGGCCACCACAGAGUGCCUUCUGUCUCCGGGCGCCUGUUCUGGAAUCUGAUGGACACAGGGGUUGAUGGACACUGGGGUUGGUUGUUGGACAUGGGGUUAGCUGAUGGACGCCAGGGUUGAUGGACAUGUGGAUUGAUGGACGGAGUCAGCAGCCUGUGACCUCCUGUCUGGCGUCUUUCCCUAAGCAAGCUGCUCCCGGGGCCUCACACCGCAGGGGCACCCAGUGCCCUUCCUGUUCCAGAGCUGAGCAAUGACCCACUGUCUAGGCCCACAGCGUCUCGCUCAGCCAUCAUCAGCUGAGGGACACUGAGGUUGAUGGACAUGGGGGUUGAUGGACACGGGGUUUGAUGAACUCUAGGACUGGCUGCGGGACACCAGGGUUGAUGGACACCAAGGAUAAUGGACAUGGGGGUUGAUGGACACUAGGAUUGGCUGAGGGACACCACAUUGGCUGUGCCUUGCUGUGGCGCGCGGCAGCCUGGGCAUGUCCAGCUGCCUCUUGCAGCUGUGAGGCGUCCCUGCUGACCAGGCCGGCAGAGCUCUCUUCACAGAGGGCUGUGGGACAGCGCGAGGAGGGCGGGAGGGAGUGGGGAGGGCAAGCGCCUGACCGGCCAGCUGAGGUGGCUCCAGGGUGUUUGCAGAGGAGACGAGGUUUGAAGGUGUGGGCUGCAUGCAGAGGCUUGUUCUCCUAGGGCGGGGCCAUCCUCCGACCCAGGAAGGCCUGAACAGAAGGACGAGGCAGAGGACGGGUGAACUUGUGCUCCUGAUGGAGCUGUGACACCGUGUUCUGCUCCUGGAAUGGCCGCUCCUGCCCUUGGGCCUUUGAUGAAGCCUGGGACACACACUGACCCCGGCUCCCCAUCAGGCCUUCAGGCUUGGAGUGGACAUACCCUAUGGCUCCCUGGUUCUUAGGGCUUGAGUCGAAUCCCACCUGCUUUCCUGGCUCUCCUGCUGUGGACAGUGGUGGGGGGAAUCCUGGCUUCUGUAAGUGUGUGAGCCAGUUCCUGUUAUGCGCCUCUUGUGCAUGCCCAUGUGUGGCUGGGCACUGUUCCCUGGAGGACUUGGGCUGCCACUUAGAGGACCCAGCUUCAGCUGUGCCUUCUAUGCGGAGCCAGGUGCCUUCUGUGGGCUGCCAGGCCCCCACAUGCCCACGCUCAUGGACCAAGCAGUGAAUGAGCUUUUUCCCAGUUGGCUGGAGUUCUCAUCUUGGAAAAUAUAGAACAGAGAGAAAUCCACUUUGUUCGAGAUCCUUUCAGUAAAAAUACACAGCUUCUCAGUGAUGCAAAGCCAUCUCCUGGGGACGGAGGGGAGAACCACGUCCUGACUCUCUUUUAGCUUAGACAGGCCAGGGCUCCCGUCCCAGGUCGGCCACCAAGAAGCCCUGGGGUCUUGGGACAGUUACUUCACCAUUUUGAACCUCGUUGUUAAAGUGAGGCAGAUGCACUCGCGACCAGAGUUAGCUAUUGUUAUCAUGGUUCACUGCUGAUCGUCCCACAUUACUAACACCAGGGCCAAGAGUACUCAGCGUAAGGCAUGCAGCUCACCCAAGCAUUUAGAGAUGACAGAGCUUCUCGCCCGGCAGUGGCUGGUGCGGACUCUCUGGGCCUCCAUGUCUUCACCUCUGCAAUGACUCUCUUUUGAGGAUUUGCUCUGAAGGUCUUGCUAAAUAAGUUGCUGGGGAGGCUGAGCACGCGGCAGGCCUGGGUUGGCAGAGUUGAACUUCCAGCUCUGCCACUGGCUGUGUGACUUGAGCUACUAACCCAGCCUCUCUGAGCCUCAGUUUCUGUGUCAGUAAAAUGAAGAUAACAACGGUGCUUACAACUCAGGGGGUUGCGGUUGGAACUGAGUUAAAAGUGUGAAACGUUGAAAAAGUGCUGGGAACCCAGUGAGCACUUAAUAAUAAGCCUGAUAUGAUUACCACCGCUGGAUGCUGUGGUGCACUGGGAUUCCGGGGCCCCUCCCCUCAUGGAGUCUGGGGCACAGGAGGGGGUGGGUCAGGCACAACCCAGGGGGACAUUCCAGGUGUAGGUGCUUAGGAGGGCACUGACCUGAGCCGGGCCCGGAGCUGGGCGGCUUGGCUUGGAAUUCUGGCCUCAGACGGACUAGCCGUAGAGAGGACGUCGGCUCUAGGAGUCCACACCUGGCCCCGUGUCAGGAGCAGGAGCUGGACACGGGGUCAGGUCUACUCCUGCUCCCCACCCCUGCCGGGCCCGUGGAACUCCGGCGCAAGCCGAGGUGAAGCUGAGAGCUGACUCUGCCGGGGGACUCAGGCAGGGGACACGGGGUACAAGCGGCAGCUGUGGCCAGCAGUCUGCGAGGGCAGGCGGGAUGAGCAGGGAGGCCGAGGUAGCCGGGCCCAUGUUCAGUGACCAAGUGUCCCCUGAGCCCCUUUGGAGCCUGGCCGCUCAGGUCCAGCAGUGCACGGGGGACUUGGUGGUUUAGCCUUCAGCCCAGGAUGGCGGGAGCCUGUGCAGGAAAAGGAAGCAGGAAAGGCCCUUCAGGAAAGAGGCAGAGGCCGAUCCGGGAGGACUCAGACCCCGGCCCCCACAGGGGCCUGCAGCCCCAUCUGGAUGGAGCUGUCCUGAUAAAGGACGGCCGGGCACCCUGGGCCCUUUCCCUGUCACCCCCAGACCUCGAGGACCCCUUGGGAGGGCUGUCAUGUAAGACACGGGGCACCCCUUGAAGCUCGAACUUCAAGUAAACCAUGUUCGGCCUGAGCGUGUCCCCGUGUUGUGUGGGGCACUUCCCUGGUCACCUCUGACUCCCUGGCCCAGGGGGCCGUGUCUGGAGCUGACCGCGGCAUUUGGCGGAGCUCCAGGUUCCCCAGGGUGCCCACCCGUGCUUAUCCUGCCGCCCAAGGAGGGCAGACGGGGCCGCCAGGCGAGAGGGGCCCGGAGCUGCCCGGCCGGCCCUGGUCCCCUCCCCUUCCCAGUCACCACCCUGCAGCUCGAGUUCCCUGAACCAGGGCACCCUGAUGGCGUCCCGUAGCGCAAGUGUGGGAGACGGCUGUGGCAGGGGAUGGCCACAACGUGUCCUUCUGAAGGCAGCUCAUGGGCUGGAGGAAUCCUGACCCCAAGCCGACUCCGCGGGGAGUGAGGCCAAGUGUGCCCGCUGCCAUGUGGAAGGCCGCAGGCUCCCGGCCCAGGGGCUCAGCCAGGCCCGUGGAACAUCCUGUGGUUUGCCUUUGUCAGGUUGACUCCUGUCCUCAGGCUCGGCUCCCGUGAGAAGGCUAAGCCCCGCUACCCUCCUCCUUCAGCCACUGGGGAGAGCCACUUCCUCCUCCUCAGGGGCCGGUCUCCCAGGCGUGACCUGAGCUACUGGGUGCAAACGCCGAGCUCCGUGGUGCCUGGCACUGGCCAGUAUCCUCCAAGGUCAGCCUGGGAGCCACCAUCUCUGUGUUACCAGGGAGGAGCCAGCUCCGACCCCGAUCCCAACCUCCACCUUUCUGACACUUUGCCCCGGAUGAUGGAAAGGACCCCAUGGGUUCUCCUGCCCGGGGCCCGUGGACUUCUUCAAGAAGCUGAAGCUUACUUGGUUAUGAGACCGUGCAUAUUCAUGGACUAUAAUUUGGAAAAUGCACUUCUUGCCAAAAGAAGAAAAUAAAGCUCCCGGCGUUCCCAGCCACCCAGAGAAAACCACGCUGAUGAGCUUGCUGAGUAUUUUAAGACUUCGGGGGAAAUUUAAAAACCUAAAGCUGCGACUCCGUUCAUGGCUCUCAGCCACAGCCUACGGUCUCUGCAGUCCACCGGGCGGCUGCGCUCCGAGCCCCGCGCCUGGCCGGGGGCUGCCCGUGCUCUGUGGGGGGUUUGGCGCCGCCCGGCUCGGCCCCCCCCCCCCGACGCCAUUUGCACCCUCCCCCACGCACGUCAGGACUGUCAACAGUGCCUCCGGGUGGUGCCAGGGCCCCACGGGCCCUGCUGGAGCCUGGCUGGGUUCACGGCACCCCUGGGAUUGGUGGCUUCUUUGAUGAGGCCCCCCCAAAUCCCAAGCAAGUUCACAGCAAAAACGCCAGUGGCUUCGGCAGGCCCUUCUCUCCCGAGCGAGAGGCACGGCUUGUCUGCAGCCCUGGGACUCCGACCAAGAACGUGGCUCUGCAGCGGAUCUGCUUCUGCCCCCAUCUCUGCCCCCAGCUCGGAAAGUUCAGGAAAGUGACUGAACGUUUCAGUGCCUCCGUUUCCCAUCUGUAAAUGAAGGCAACCGUGGAACCCGUGGGGGUGCGCAGAUGAAAUGGGCUCACCCCAUAGUAAUGGCCAUGCAUCCAGUCCAGCACCACGUGCGUCCAGUCCAGCAAGAGGGGAGAGGAGGCCUAGAAACCACUAAGUGGGGUCCUGCCGAUGAGAAUCGCUGAGCAGGACGGGGCUCCAGACCAGGCGAAAGUGCUUGUCCACACCUCGGCUCCUCUCUAGACCCUGGGUGUGAUAGCUGUCCCCAGUGUCAUCAAGCUUGAGUGACAUCGGGUUAGCCUUGAGAUCUGGGACAGUGGAGUCCACUCUCCAGAGAAGCUUUAGUGUAAAAAGGCCAUUGUGUAAAAAGGUCAUUGUGCCCUGGGGCUCCCAAGUCUUUGAACUUUUGUUCUUUAAUUGUGAACCUCUGUGUCACCAUUCUGAGUGUGCAAUGCAUUAAGUACGUCCCCGUCCCCGUUGUACAGUCACGCCCUCGUCCAGCCGCAGAGCUCUGUCCCACCUACACCGGCUGCCCACCCUCCUCUCCACCCUCCGCCCCUGGCAGCCAGGAUUCCGCUUUCUGUGACUUUGAACUUGACCCUCUUCGGUGCCUUGUGGAGCAUCAGAGCUUUGGCAUCUGGCAUGUUUCACGUGGCACGUUUCCAUGUCAUACCCACGUGUGGCAUGUGUCAGACCCCCUGCAGUUCAGGCUGAGCGCAACUCCACUUCGGGCACAGACCGCGUUCUGUGUGCCCGUUGGUUUUCGGCUGGGCGUGUGGGUGGCUUCUGCCUUUCAGUGCUGUGUGUUCGGUGGACGUGGUGGCAAGUGUCCGAGCCCCCACACUCCAUCUUUUCGGGUCGGAACCUGGAAUUGGGGUUUCUGCUCCAAGAGACGACUCCAUGGCUGUUCUAGGAGCAAUUGCUUCGGGGGCGUUCCUACCAGCCACAAGCAAGGGCUGCGUGUUUCCACGGCCUCACCAACCCCCGUGUCUUAACCCAGCACCCUGGAUCGCACACCUCGGAAACAGAGUGGUGCGCUCAGGGCCCCUCCUCAUAGCGAUUCUUCAUUCCCAAAGAGCUUCUGACUUCUCCAGCGAGCUGCUGUGUGUUUGAACCUCCCGUCUGUGCCGCCAGGUGGGCGAGGCUGAACCGGCUCGGUGAGUCUAGAAGAUUCUGAGUCAGCACUCGGGCCUCCUCUUUGGGCCUCUGCUCUAGAGCAAGCACUCUGCCCCCGCUGGGUCCCCUGUUCCCAGUGUGUCACAGGGGCCACCUCCAACCUGCUGGUGGGGAGAGGCCGUGAGGCUUCUGCCACGGGCCUCACUCUGCGCUGGGCUGAGGACGGGCCCGUGAAGCAGGAUCAGCCGAGGAAGAGGAGCCCCAGGAUUCCUGUCCCUGUCCUGAGCAAGACCCCUCCACACCUGGGAACAGAGGUGGCUCUUUAUAGGUGACUGAUGCUCUGUCGUCUGAGGGACAAGAUUUCACACACAGCCUUUUCCAGCUGGCUUCUCUGUCACCAUCAGGACAUCUGUCACCAUCAUGGGAUGAUGCCAGUGGGGCUGCUGGGGACACACAAGCCAGCUUUGGUGAUCAACCCUCCCACCCGGUUGUCACUCCCCCUUUGGUGUCGUUGCUCUCAGGGUGGAAAACUUCCUGUCCUCAUGGCCUGAGCUGGUUCGUGAUGAAGCUCUCAGCCUUUAUUUGGCCUUCAUGUAGGAAGGUGUCAUCCUCCGGUGACGCGCCAUGAGUUGGCAGGUCUGUUUUGCUGUGAGUCUUAGGUAGGAGUCACUCCAUUCCCUCGGGUUCUCGUGACAUUCAGUCGUCAUCGGCAUCAUCCUUCCCGUAGGUGAGGUGCUGUCUUUGAUUUUCCUGGCAGUGACAGUUUCCCGUAUGUUUGGAUUUCAGGAAUCUGGCCACAAUGUAUCAAUGUGCAGUCUCAUUGUAUUAAUCUUAUUUGGGGUUUGCUGGGCUUAGACUUAUACAUUGAUGUCUUUCACCAAAUUGGGAACUUUGAGGUCAUGAUUCCUUUCACUUGAUUUUUCUUCUCGGAUUCUCUCUCCUCUUCUAAGACCCCACAUGUAUGUUACCCACAGGCUGCACAGGUCAGAGGCUCUGCUAAUUAAAGAAAAAAUAGUCUC